CACAGUGGCGCGCCGUUCCGAGCAAUGAGAGUGCAGGCACAGGUGCGGCCGGUUUCCUUGUCGCUGUCCCGUGCUGAGUGAGUUUUGCCUCGAAGCUGGUCCGAAGUCGCGCCUGCUCUUUUGUGUGCCCAAGGCAGAUUUCCAGAAGUAGAAAUCUGUCUUCUAACUCUAAGGCCUUGGGAGAUGAAGGAUCCGUGAUUCAAAGGCAGAAAUAGAUGGAGUCUUGCUGUGUUCUCCAGGAUUGAGUACAGUGGCUGUUCACAGAUGUAAUCAUAGUACACUACAGCCUCAAACUCCCGGGGUCAAGCAGUCCUCCUGCUUCAGCCUCUUGAGGAGCUGGGACUACAGGCCCAUAUCACCAUGCCCACUAGAUUCACAAUCAUUUUGCUUGUGGAAGGUCUUGCCUCAAUGUUGAUAGGUGCUGACUGAUCAGGGUCAGGUUGCUGACUGAUCAGAAUGGUAGUUUCUGAAUGUUGGGAAUGGCUAUGGCAAUUUCUUAAAAUAAGACAACAAUGAAGUUUGCUGCAUUGAUUGACUCCCUUUCACAAAGGAUUUCUCCAUAUCAUGCAAUGCUGUUUGAUAGCAUUUUACCCAUAGUAGAACUUCUUUCAAAAUUGGAGUCAAUUCUCUCAAACCUUGUCUCUCUUGGUCAACAAAGUUUAUGCACUAUUCUACAUCCUUUGUUGUCAUUUCAACAAUAUUUACGGAGUCUUCACCAUGAAUAGAUUCCUUUUCGAACAACCACUUUCUUUGCUCAGCUAUAAGAAGCAGCUCUUCACCCAUUCAAGUUUUAUCAUGAGAUUGCAGCAAUUCAGUCACAUCAAAUUCCACUUCUAAUUCUAGUUGUUUUUCUAUUUCCACCACAUCUGCAGGUACUUUCUCCACAGAAAUUUCAAACCUCUCAAAGUCAUCCAUGAGGGUUGGAAUCAACUUCUUCCAAAUUUCUGUGGAUGUUGAUGUUUUGACCUCCUCCCAAUCACAAAUAUUCUUAAUGGCAUCUAGAAUGGUGAAUCUUUUCCAGAAGGUUUUCAAUGUGCUUUGCCCAGUUCCAUCAGAAGAAUCACUGUCUGUGGUAGCUCUAGCCUUAUUAAAUGUAUAUUUUAAAUAAUAACACCUAAAAAUCAAAAUGACUCCUUGAUCCAUGGGCUGUAGAAUAGACAUUGUGUUAGCAGUCAUGAAAACAAGAUUAAUCUCCUUGUACAGCACCAUUAUAGCUCUUGGGUGACCACGUGCAUUGUCAAUGACCAGUAAUAUUUUGAAAGGACACUUUUUUUUGAGCAGUAGGUCUCAACAGUGGACUUAAAAUAUUCAGUAAGCCGUGUUGUAAACAGAUGUGCUGCCAGCUAGGCAUUGUUGUUCCAUUUAUAGAGCACAGGUAGAGCAGAUUUAGCAUAAUUUGUCAGGACCCUAGGAUUUUUGGAAUGGUAUAUGGGCACUGGCUUCAACUUCAAGUCACCAACUACAUUAACUCCUAACAAGAAGAGUCAGCCUGUCCUUGAAAGUUUGAAAACAGGCAUGGAUUUCUCCUCUCUAGCUAUGAAAGUCUUAGAUGGCAUCUUCUUCCAAGAGAAGUUGUUUCAUGUACAUUAAAAAUCUGUUGUUUGGUGUACCCACCCUCUUCGAUGAUCUUAGCUAGAUCUUCUGGAUAACUUGCUACAGUUUCUACAUCAGCACUUGUUGCCUUACCUUACACUUUUAUGUUAUGGAGAUAGCUGCUUUCCUUAAACCACAGGAACGAACCUCUGCUAUCUUCUAGCUUUUCUUGGGCAACUUCCUUCUUUCAGCUUUCAUGGAACUGAAUAGUGUUAGGAUCUUGCUCUGGGUUAGGUUUUGGCUUAAGGGAAUGUGGUAGCUGAUUUGAUUUAUUUAGAGCACUAAAACUUUCGUCAUAUCAGCUUUAAAGCUGGUUUGCUUUACUAUCACUUAUGUGUUCACUGGAGUAGCACUUUAAAUUUCCUCCAAGCUUGUUUGCUUUUCAUUCACAACGUGGCUGUUUGGUGCGAAGAGGCCUAGCUUCCCAGUCUUGGCUUUCAACAUGCCUUCCUCACUAAGCAUAGUCAUUUCUAGCUAUUUAUUUGAAGUUAGAGAUGUGCAACUCUUCUUUCACUUGAACACUUAGAGGCCAUUGUAGGGUUAUUACUUGGCUUAAUUUCAAUAUUGUUGUGUCUGGAGGAAUAGAGAGGCCUGGGGAGACAAAGAGAAAUGGGGAACAGCUGGUCAUUUGAGCAGUGAGAACACACGCAACAUUUAUUGAUUAAAUUCGCUGUUUUAUGGGCUCGGUUCAUGGUGCUCCAAAACAAUUAUAAUAGUAACAUCAAACAUCACUGGUCACAGGUCGCCAUAACAGAUAUAAUGAUAAUGAUAAUAAUAAUAAUGUUUGAAAUAUUGCAAGAAUUACCAAAAUGUGACUCAGAGAAACAACAAAGUGAGCACACGCUGUUGGAAAAAUGGUACCGAUAGACUUGAUCCAUGCAGGGUUGCCACAAACGAUUAAUUUGCAAAAAAACAAAACAAAAGAACAUGCAGUAUCUGUGAAGCACAAUAAAGCAUACUGCAAAU
Molecule: long non-coding RNA, 2559 nt
Filed under: Pongo abelii (Sumatran orangutan)
Lineage: Eukaryota; Metazoa; Chordata; Mammalia; Primates; Hominidae
Description: lincRNA
Source: RNAcentral